CAGCCGCCACGGGAAUACAGAGGGUGCGAGCGUUAAUCGGAUUUACUGGGCGUAAAGCGUGCGUAGGCGGCUUCUUAAGUCGGAUGUGAAAUCCCCGAGCUUAACUUGGGAAUUGCAUUCGAUACUGGUUAGCUAGAGUGUGGGAGAGGAUGGUAGAAUUCCAGGUGUAGCGGUGAAAUGCGUAGAGAUCUGGAGGAAUACCGAUGGCGAAGGCAGCCAUCUGGCCUAACACUGACGCUGAGGUACGAAAGCAUGGGGAGCAAACAGGAUUAGAUACCCCCGUAGUCCCUGUCUCUUAUAU
This 301-nucleotide ribosomal RNA is filed under the name uncultured bacterium. RNAcentral describes it as "partial 16S ribosomal RNA". It matches the Rfam family "Bacterial small subunit ribosomal RNA", at positions 509 to 809 of the family's 1533-position model. The record is from RNAcentral.